UGAAGUUCUGUGAUUUUUACAUGUUUUUUGGUUUAAAUUUAAAUAAAAAAUUUAAAAAGUUUAAAUAAAACUAAUUAUUUCGAUUAAAAUUGUUGUAAUCCUUAUUAUAUGCAUUUGAAAAAAUAGAUAAAAUGGAAUUUAGUGUUCAUAAAAUAAAGAAAAAUGUACAACAACUUGUAUCAUUGAUUCAAACUCCAAAUGAAAAAUUAAAUUUCUUACUUGAUUUUUUGGAUAAAAAGAGCUACCGCAGCAGUGAUAUUGAAUUUUUGCUCCGAUGUUUAAGCAGUUCUUUACUCGACGAGACGUUAACUAUACCAAUUGCAACGGCAUUUGAAGAUUGUUUAUUGUUGCUUAUAACGAACGCUGUAGGUGGGAAUGAUUUUGAAAAUGCCAUCGAAUAUCAAUGGAAAUGUAUCGCUUUGGCAAAACUUAUGCAUUUGUCGCUUUGCGCUAAACGUUUUGCACUGUCCUAUUUCCUGAACAAGCCGGCUCCAUUUUCAACAUCUUGUGAUGAAGUAGCUUCAAAGAAGUCGAAAACGAAUUUAAACGAUAAACCAGAUGCAUUUGCAAUUAUUAAAUGUUGUUUUUAUCUUUUAAAAGCUGACACGAGUUUUUUUAAGGAUCUUUGGAAUUGGUCGGAAUUUCUUCUUUGUUAUGGCGAACCAUCCGAAAAUGAAAGUCCUCUUUUGAAAGUGUACAGAAAUCACAUAGUCGCAAUGUUAACAAAUAUGAACGCUACAACCUUACACAAAUUGAAUGAAAAACUACCAGAAGAAUUGCUUAUUGAAUUUUACGAGGAACAAGAAUCUAUGAGACUUUUAAAUUUAUCAGAUUCCGUCGAAGAUGAAAUUGCAGAAUCAUCAGAGGAUACUAUUUCUAUAAACGCAAAUAGCGCAUUGUUUGUAACAAACAUUGAAGGAGUAUUUUUACCCAUAUUUAACAGGGACAAUUAUGAUUAUUUUCGCACGAUGGAAAGUAAUCAAGAGAGCAUAGUUCGUGUUGAAUCAACCAGAGUGAAUCUUCGAAGCAUUGCCCUAGGUAUAACUUCUGGAAAAGCCAUUUGUCUCUCUGGUCCGGUAGGCUGUGGUAAAACUACACUAGUUGAGUAUUUAGCUCGUAUGACUGGAAGAAUUGCUCCUAAAAAGGAUGUUGUGGUAGAUGAAUUUAAUUCUAUGUUUAACCAAGAAAAUAAUCAGAUAAUCAGCAAUGUCAACAGCAAUAAUAAGGAAGGUAUUUGUAAUAAGCGAAAAAUUGUCUCAUCUGAUGUUACAAACUCUGCUUCAACGAAUGGGUUUUUGCGAAUUCAAUUGGGUGAUCAGACUGACAGCAAAAUGUUACUUGGUCAGUAUCAUUGCACUGAUGUUCCCGGUGAAUUUAUAUGGCUGCCUGGUGUUCUUACGCAGGCUGUCAUGAACGGCUAUUGGUUGCUUCUAGAAGAUUUGGACUGCGCUACAACUGAUACGUUUACAGUUUUGAGUAGUCUGCUUGAAAACAAUUAUCUUAGUGUGCCAGGAUUUCGAGAUUAUGUUAAAGUUACUCCUGGAUUUCAGUUAUUUGUGACUGUGAGGACACAUAAAUCAUCGUCCUCAAACUGGUCACAGAAGGCAUUGUUUUCAUUAUUGGAGAAACAUCUGUACCCAAUUAACAUUUUGCCAUUGUCCCGAAAUGAACUGUGCGAAGUCAUUAGAAGUAAAUAUUCUAAAUUGGCGACUGUAGCUAAUCGAAUGGUAGACGUGUUCCUUACAUUUUCUAGUGGAGACCAUAAUAUAGCCGACAAUCUUCGCCAGCAAGAGACCAGAGACAAAGCAAGUGCAACAGAAACCUUCCAGCAAUUGCCUUACGAAGAAGUUAAUAUGACAUCUUUAACGAGUUCGGGACGUUUAGUGUCGACGCGUGACCUUAUAAAGUUGUGUCAAAGAUCGAAUCCUUCAUUUUCUGUUACCAGCACAGAAUGUGCAUAUUUUGUAUUUCAAAACGCCGUCGAUAUAUUUUGUUCGUAUUUGCCGAACAGCAAAGAGAAAACGAAAUUAAUAGUAGGAAUCGGAGCAAAAUUGGGAAUUAUACAGUCUCGUUGCGAACACUUGGCCGAUGAAUUCAAGCCUGAAGUUUGCGUAGAUAGCGAACGCAUUAAAGUUGGUCGAGCAGAACUUUAUGCUCGAACACUAUCAUCCUCUAGCGAUGAGAGAAAUGAGAUCGCAAUGAAGGAACUUUCAACAGAAGAACAGUCGUUGAAGAGACUUAAGUUGUCGAACGGUGAAGGAAAGGUCAUACGUCAUUUUUCCACAAAAUCGAACGCUUUAUCAACCACUUUUUCAUUUACACGUCUGGCUUCUUGCCUUUUGGAACGGAUUGCAGUUUGCGUAGCUAAUGCGGAACCAGUGUUAUUAGUUGGAGAAACAGGCGUGGGCAAGACAUCAUCGGUGCAGUAUUUGGCCGCAAGAACUAAACAUAAAUUAGUUGUUGUAAAUAUGAACAACCAAUCUGAUGUUUCCGAUUUAGUGGGUGGUUUUAAGCCAGUAGAUCUUGCAUAUGUUAUUGCUCCUUUGCGAACAGAAUUCGAAGUGCUAUUUAGAAGAACAUUCAAUCAAUCGAAAAAUGAAUCUUUCCUAACAAAAUUCAGCAUCUGCUACAAUCAAGGCAACUUUUCAGUGAUUGUGAAGCUGAUGAUUAAAAUUGUUGAUAAUAUUUUUGAAAAGUCCGAACGUAAUGAACUUAGAGAAAAGGAUAUGCUUUUGAUGCCCCGCUGGAUGGCUUUAAAAAUAAAAUUGCAAAAACUAAAUAGCCAACUCAGUAAAUCUAUUAAUAUAUCUUUUGCCUUUAUACCAGGAUCUCUGGUUAAUUGCAUAAAAAAUGGCGAUUGGCUUCUAUUGGACGAAAUAAACUUAGCUUCAGCCGAAACAUUGGAAUGUUUAUCCACUAUUUUGGAGCCAGAUGGAUCGGUUGUAUUGUUAGAAAAAGGUGACUUUACUCCAGUUAAAAGGCAUCCUGAUUUUCGAAUCUUUUCUUGUAUGAAUCCUAAUACUGAUAUUGGUAAAAAAGAUUUGCCAGUUGGCAUUCGCAACAGAUUUACAGAAUUUUUUGUGGAUGAAGCUGAGACGGAAGCCGAUUUGAGUUUGCUUAUAUCAGACUAUUUAAGUGCUACUGGCAUACAAAAGAAGAGUGUAAUGAGCAUCGUGAAACUGUAUAAACGGCUAAAAUCAUUAGCCAAGCUGGAGCUAAAUGAUGGCCUCGGAAAUAGGCCAGUUUAUUCCUUGCGUACUCUUUGCAGAUCUUUAACAAUAUGUGCAAAAAACUUGUGUGGAUCGAUCGAAAGAAACCUUUAUGAAUCAUUCUGUUUAAGUUUUUUGACACAGCUCGAUCCUCAAUCACACAAUGUAGUACAACACUUGAUAAAAGAGGCGUUGCUUAGCAAUGCUAAAGCCGUACUCCAACAGGCAAUACCAAAACCGGGUGAAAAUUAUCUUAACUUUGAAGGUUAUUGGAUUGAAAAGGGCCCAAAAGAACUACAGGAUUGCAGUAAUUACAUUUUAACAGACAGUGUUAAAGAAAACUUAAAGGACUUGGCACGUAUUAUAUCUAUUGGUAAACUUCCUAUACUUUUACAAGGCCCAACAUCGGCGGGAAAAACAAGUUUAAUUGAUUACGUAGCAAGGCGAAGUGGAAACCACUGUCUGCGUAUAAAUAACCAUGAACACACAGAUCUGCAGGAAUACAUUGGUACCUAUACUACCGACGUUAGUGGAAAGUUGGCUUUUAAAGAGGGUAUUUUGGUACAGGCUAUGCGUAAUGGUUACUGGAUAAUUUUAGAUGAACUUAACUUGGCGUCAACUGAAAUUUUGGAAGCUCUUAAUCGUGUUUUGGACGACAAUCGCGAAAUUUUCAUACCAGAAACCCAAACUGUUGUCAAAGCUCAUCCCAAUUUUAUGCUAUUUGCUACACAAAAUCCCCCCGGUUUAUAUGGUGGAAGAAAAACGCUAUCCAGAGCAUUCAAAAAUAGAUUUAUUGAAUUGCACUUCUCUGAUAUACCACGAACGGAGUUGGAAAUAAUUUUAGAAAAAAAGUGUCUCAUACCUGCUUCUUAUGCCCGAAAAAUGGUUGCUUGCAUGGUUGACUUGCAAAAGAAUAGAAAAUCCACUUCCAAAAACACCUUUACACUGCGUGAUCUUUUUAGGUGGGGCAUACGUUAUACAUUGGCCGAUAAAAAGCUAUUGGAAGACCCAAAAUAUGAUUGGAAUCAGCAUUUAGUCGAAGAAGGCUACUUAGUACUUUCAGCAAAAGUACGAACGGAAAUUGAGUUGGAAGUAAUUGAUGAAACUUUGUACAAAAACUUUAAGAAACGUGUAAACUUAGACAGAUUGUUCGAUACGAGUGGAAAUGGAGAAACAUCGCUUGUCACUAAAUAUAUAAUUGAUGAAAUUCACAACUUUAAAUCUCGCACAGAUAUCGUAUGGACUCGUAAUAUGACACGCAUGGCCGUGCUGACAGCGAAAGCUCUACAGUUUGAUGAACCCGUUCUAUUGGUGGGACCCACUGGCUGUGGCAAAACUACUGUGUGCCAAUUGUUGUCAACAAUCCGUGGUGUAAACUUGCGUAUUCUUAACUGUCAUAUGCAUACAGAAGGUGCAGACUUUUUGGGAGGUCUGCGGCCUUGUCGGAAUAACGACAGUCAACAAGAAACUAAAAAAAUAUUCGAGUGGGCAGAUGGUCCAUUGAUUCAGUCUAUGGAAGAAGGCUCCUACUUUAUGGCUGACGAAAUAUCUUUGGCGGAAGAUUCUGUGCUGGAACGCUUAAAUUGUAUUUUAGAACCAGAACGUACAGUUUUAUUGGCAGAAAAAUGUGGUAUUAUAUCUGAGAACCAAUUAACAGAGGGGAUUGCAAAAGAGUUUGUGGUUCAAGCUAAACCCGGAUUUCAGUUCUUAGCUACUAUGAAUCCUGGUGGAGAUUUUGGUAAAAAAGAACUUUCACCAGCUUUGAGAAAUCGUUUUACCGAGAUAUGGUGUCAGCCUUCGAAUUCUAGAGAUGAUCUCGUAGAAAUUGCUAGUAAUUGUAUUAUUGACCAGAUAAAGAAUACAUCAAUUGAUAGAGCGGAGAUUCUUAAAAUAGCUACAUUCAUAGUAGAUAUUGUUCUGUACAUGAAAAACACAAUUGACAAGUUUAAGUUUUCCAUAAGAGAUAUAUUAGCCAUGGCCAACUUUAUUGUAACAAAUACGACGCUAACCUUCCCCGAAAAAGCGAUAUUUGGUUUGGAAACUACAUUUUUGGAUGCAUUGGAAAUGUCAUUGCAUGAAUCAUCUGAGCAAUUAGAGAAACUUAAGAUACAAAUAAUUGAAUAUGCAAUACAGCAAGCAAAUGAAAUAAUAGGCGAAAAAUUCACUCUAUCUGAACUGUUAAAGAACAAGGGGACUACUGUAGAAUAUACCUCAAAUAAUACUUUUGGAAUUAAGCCAUUUUACAUUAACACGAACAGCGAAACGAACGAAGCUAUGCUAAACACCAGCAAAUAUUUUCUUUUUGAAGCACCUACUACCAAACAGAAUCUCUUUCGUUUACUCUCGGCUUUGUCGCUAAAUAAACCAAUUUUAUUAGAAGGUCCUCCAGGUGUAGGAAAAACAUCUAUAGUUGAAAGCCUCGCUCAUGCUAUCGGAUACAAUAUUGUGCGUAUUAAUCUUUGUGAACAUACUGACCUGGCAGAUCUAUUUGGAACUGAUUUGCCAGCUGAGGAUAAUAUUUCAAAUUUAAAAUCGGAAGAAGAUAAGAAAAACACUAACUUACAAAUCGGUUCCUUUCAAUGGCGCGAUGGUCCAUUGCUAGCAGCGCUAAAAGCUAACAAUACUUGGAUCCUUUUAGAUGAAUUGAAUUUGGCCCCGCAAUCGGUUUUAGAAGGUCUCAAUGCAAUUCUCGAUCAUCGUGGAGAAGUGUAUAUACCAGAACUAAACAAAACAUUCGCACUCAACAAACAAACUCGUGUCUUCGCCAGUCAAAAUCCCCUGAAACAAGGCGGUGGUCGCAAGGGCUUGCCUCAGUCAUUCCUUAAUCGUUUCACAAAAGUGUAUGUACAGAAACUUACGACCGAAGAUUUAUUAUUUGUUGUAGAAGGCAAAUACAAAACCUAUUUUGAUGAACUGAGAGCCAGUUUUGUUAAACUAUUACCACCUUUCCAUGAACGGUCAUCUAAGAAUCUCUUUGACAUACAUAGAUCAAUGAAACAAAAUCAGGAAGACCUUUCUGAAUUGGAUAUGAUCACAGAUCAAAAUGAAUGUUUGAUUCCUGAAUUUGAUUUAUCACUGCGAUUAGUUCGUUUUUCGGAAAUCCUAGAUAAUGGCAUAACAACGAUGGAAUUUGGAUAUAAGGGUGGUCCAUUUGAAAUAAAUUUGCGAGAUAUACUAUUUUGGUGCGAUCUAUUGAAAAGUCCUCAAACUGGAUUCACCGUUAAACACACUCAAGGAUUUAGGCGGAACUUUGAUAAUUUCUUAUUAACCCUCUAUGAGCGCAUGAAACUGGUGUAUUACCAACGAAUGCGCUGUGAGCAAGACAAACAAUUUAUUCGCAAUACAUUCGAAUCUGUUUUCAAAUGCAAUGCGGAAUAUCUGAAUGCGAUAUCUGAAGAUGUCGGUCUUUACUGGACCAAUGAGAGAAUAUACAUUAACGACAUAACUAUUGAUCGUGAUACUCAACCACUGCAUUUCCAAAAACCAAUGGAAUGUUCACCUCUAUUACUGGAAACGCAACGUGAGACUCUGAAAAACUUAGUCGAGUGUGUACAUGUGGAGAAGCCUGUACUUUUGUGUGGUUCAACUGAUACGGGCAAAACAAAAAUUAUUGAUACAUUGUGCUUUAUAUCCAAUCAGAUGUGUAACUUGGACAACAUUGAUGACUCCGUAACAGGGAGUUUCCAACAGAUCGAUCUUAACCGGCAUCUUGAAGAAAUAUCGUUUCAUGUUGAAUGUAUAUAUUUAAAAUUCAUUCAGAACACAAUUUUAGACAGUUCUAGCACAAUUAAAAUGAUUUCUGAAUUGUUGGACUCAUGGAAUACUUACAGUGUUUUACGCAAUUAUAAAUGUGAAUUGACAAACAAAUCGUUUGUUUCUGAGGAACUUGUAAAUUAUCGUAGACGAAUAGAUAAACUAAAUAAUCUUAUUGAAAUCCUGCAAAAAAGUAUUUACUGUUCCGCUAAUGAAAAGUACACCGAAGAGUUAAAUAAUAUUCGUAAUAAACUCAAUUUGUUGAAAUUGCAUGUUAAGAAUACAGAAUCUUUAAAUACAGGCGGUUGUUUUGAAUGGGUUGACUCAAAAAUUGUUAAAUCACUCAAGGAUGGUCAAUACAUUUUACUCGAACAUGUAAACCUUUGUUCUUCAGCUGUCCUGGAUCGUUUGAAUCCUGUCUUUGAGCCGAGUGGCACUUUAAUGUUAUCUGAAAAGGGCGUUACAGGAAAUGAAAAGGCUGAAAUUGUUAAGAAGUCUGAUAAUUUCAGAGCAUUUCUAACGCUAGAUCCUAAAAAUGGAGAAUUAUCUCGAGCUAUGCGUAAUCGUUGCGUUGAAAUUUUCAUAAACAAUCAAACACCUAAUAUGGAUGAUAAACGUAUAUUAGUGUUCCACCAGGGAGUGCGAGACAUAAAUGCCAUUAACUGCAUAAUAAACAUUCAUGACAAAAUUUCUAAACUUACAGAAAUAAAUAACUUAACGAUAUCGCAUCUUACUCAGACUGCCUUUUUGUGCGCUUCAUAUAAGCGAAUUGGCUACCAAAUGAAAAGGGCAAUAUAUGUAAGUGCCAUGGAAGUUUAUGUAUAUUCUGCUUCUACGGAUUUGAUGGGUUACGGUUUAAAUUUUUACCAAAAUAAACUAAGAGAAAUUGUCAUAAUGGAGUCAGAGAAAUUUACUGCCAAUUUACAUCAAGAUCAUUUGAAAGACGUUGUUUUAAAAUGUAGUUCUUUGACCGAAAUUCCUUUAGUGAAUUUGCAAAUUGUUCCUUUAAAAGUUGUUUUGGAUAAUUUAUUGGAUGCAAGUCAAGCGCAAGAAGCAUUAUCUCUAUUAUUUUCCGAAUUUUCAACUAUAAAUAUGGAAAAUAUUAACUUUGAGGACUUUGCAAAGUACUUGAUUUAUAUGACAUAUGAAGCGAGCUCGUUAAAUGAUUUGCGGUAUCGUUAUCUGCAGUUAGAAAAAUGUCUAAAAGACUAUCCAGCAUUAUGGGAACUUUCCAAAACCCUUUACAACUGUAUAGUCAAUACCGAUAACGACAGUAUUCUGCCAUCAUUGCCCUGGAAUACAAAAUUGUAUCCUAGAAUACGUGAUUACAAGUUGGAAACAUCAGAAAAACUUGGUUUCUGUUUGAGCAGCUCUCUAAUUUUUAACAUGUUGAUAGCUCCAUUGCCACAAGAGCCAGUAACAAAAAUGAGCUCUAUCGAUGUACUGACAUAUUCCCAAGCUAUUGCAAAACAGGUUUUAAGCGAUAAACUUAACAAUUCGUUCCUACAACAUUACUCUGAUUUUCUCUUACACCUCCAAAAGGUACUAAAGAGUAGUAUGUACCAGGCCCAGUUGGAUAUGGAAUCAUAUAUUGAAUUAAUCACUGCAUUACAGUGGUUUAAUCGCAUACUGAAUCUAUCGCGAUUGAAUUUAUAUCUAAACAAGGAGGUUAACACUGACCUACUUGAUAAACUUAUAUUACACUUUAAAUGGUUGAACAAGAACCUGAUGACCCUAGUUCACAAAUUACUGCCUAACAUUCAUACAAUAUCGCCCGAACUAUACAAUAGCCAACGACAACUUCUUGAUUAUGUGUCAAGCAUCAAGCAUCCCUUAAAUGUUCGUCGUAAAAUGUAUGCAAAGCACUUAUUAGAAUUCCAGCCAUUUUCUCAAAAAGAAGAGGUGCAAAUCUUUAUGAAAAUACAAGAAUUAGAUCAAUUACUAAGUGUAAUUCCUUUAUAUGGGCAAUUUACUCCUGAGGAUGUGUUUAAAAAGUUCGCUGCUCAAAAUAGUGAAAGCUCACGGCGAGCUUAUGCCAUUAUUUCUAAAAACUAUACUCUGUUCGACUUUAAAAAGACUCAAGAAGUCAGUUUAAAUCGUAAUUGUGGAAAAUUAAUACCAGAAGAGUUGAAAUUGAAUUUACAACAGUUUUUAAGUACUUUAACGGAAAAUAAUUUUAAUAACGUGCAACUUUCUUCCGAAGAUCUUGACAUCAUAGAAUCUGAUCUAAAUGAAAUAUCACAAUUACUUGCUCCUACACCUUUCUCAGAAGCAAUCGCUGAAAAAUCUUACAAUAUGCCGCACGAAAUUCAAUUAAAAACGCUUGCAAUAAGAGAAUACUUUUUAAUUAAAUCAUUAAUAGCAACUAUAGAAAAUACGGCAGUAAAUAGUGUUCAAAUAAACUGUGAAUAUCAGGAGGAAAUUCCAUUUUUAAAUAGCACAACAGUUUCGUUGCUAAAUACAUGUAAACUGUCGUACUUUCAAAAAUAUCGUGAUAUAUGGUUACAUAUCUCCAGUUACAUAAACAAUAUGCAGACUUCCGAAGAAUUUGAAGAUCUUUUGCAAUAUUUAGAUGGAGGCUACAAGCACUUUUCAGCCAUAAACAGACUUGUCUCGAAUUCAGUGCACAGACUGCAACUUGAAAGUCUAAAUUCUCACCUUGAGUGUGUACGAGUUCAUGAUUGUAAAGAUAACAUUCAGAGUCAAAAUACAUUUAAUGGUCCUCCUUUCAUCAACAUCAUGUCUAAUUUAUUAUUCGUUGAUGAAAGUGGAGCAUUUAAAACAGUGCCUUUGCGUGAUUUGGAUCUUUGGAAAAAUUCUUUAAAUCAACUGUGUCAGAUAGUCUGGCACAACUCUAUGCUCGUGACACCAACAUAUAAUGUAGCAUGGAACAAUUAUAUGCGUUCGUUGAGAAAUGCAAAACGUUUAUUGUCAGAAGUGAAAUAUCUUGAGAUGUACUGUCGAAGUGACGCCGAAAAAAAUUUAACAAAUUAUACGGAAUCUUUUCAUAAUUUAAUUGUAAAAUUAAAAGAUUGCACUGCUGACACCGAAGAAAAUAUUUCGGAUAAUACCAGUGCGACUGGAAAUCAAGUGGUUUUGUAUAAAUCUUCUUUAAUGAACACUUUAAUUGGUUCUAUAGAAUUAUGCCUCAUUCCUUUCACACCGCUUAUAGAUCCUGUAGAAAAGAAUCGAUUAAAGAAUGAAUAUAUGGCGGAUGAUAUUUAUAUCUUAAAUAACUUUAAAUCAGCCUACGACUUUUCCAGAAUUUCGAUGAAGUAUAAACAUUUUGGUGAAGAAAUUUAUGAAGCUAUCAAGAGAAAUCUCGACAUUUUAAAGGAGAAACAAAACAAGCUCAAAGAAAAGGUAGCUCUGAGACCAGAGAAAUGUUUAUAUGGGGUUUUGGUCAGGGACAUUACCCACUUCAUAACUACAAAUUGUAAUCCAGACGUUCUAUUAAAACUUGUGAAUAGCGUUGAAUCAAUUUGGGACGUUCUAUUUGGAAAUAUGGAUUCUGAUUGUUUGAGCGGAAUCCUUGAAAGUUGCGAUGAAAUUAUAAAAAAACUCAGUUUAUGGAUUGCAAAUUCUCAGCGUUUUGUUCAUCACACAUUGAAACCGUAUUUGCUUUACUAUCAGGACUUUUUGAAACCAUUGCAAUGCUCAAUCAAUCAACUACGUUUUGGAUUCGAAGGUCUAAAGCUUGUUCUCGCCCAGAUUAAAAAUAAUAUAAUUGAUGAAGGAAAUGGCAUAUGCGUCAACAUUAAUGCCAACAACAAGCUGCACAAAGUGUUGAAAAACAUUGCAGAGUUUCCGACUAGUAAAAUGCUUGAUAUCUUCAAUGUUAAUUCCUCCAAAGAUAUUUUACAAAAUCGUUGUCCUGUAUUCAGUAUAAUUAAUAAAAUGUCUAGAUGUGAAUCGGAUUAUUUCCAUUUGUUGAAAGCCAAGGUUGUUGAACUUAAGAACCGUGUUGAAAUUUCUCACUUUAUCAAUCAGGAGCUAUUCGCAGAAUUUGACUUUGCCUUCAAUAUCAUCAACCAAGUUUGGCAACGUGAAGAAGAACUAAGACGGCAGAAGCAGAAGGAAGAUGAAAGUCUUUAUCUAACUAAAACAAAGUGUGAAGACGAGGAUGAAGAAAUGCAGGAGUUAAAGGAAAUUGAAGAAAUAUUUCCAACUGCGAUUCAAGAAGAUUUCGGUGACUUCAUACAGGAAGAUACUUUGGAGAAAGUGAUCAAAUUGAACACAAAGAAGCCAUUGAAAACUAAAAGAGAUCAUAUUGUUGUACAAGAAAAUGAUUACGCUUUUAUUGCCAAAAACUUCAUCGAAAUCUUAGUCAAAAGCUCUCAAACUUAUUAUCAUCCAAAACCUAAACGUUCUGAUAACAACGAACAAAUUGAUUUUGUAUAUUACUUCAAGGAGCGUUUCCAAGUUUUUCUUAAGAUUUACAAUAAAUACAAAUCUUCUAUAAACGACUGGUUAGAUGAAGAAUGCUUUAGUAGUUUUUACUUCAGCAUGGCCAUCCAAAAAGAUGCGCUGGACGAAAAUCUAUUAACGAAUCUAAAACAAGAGAAACCUUAUAAUUUCUAUAAAGAUUCGAAUAUACAAGAAAUAGUAUCCUGUGGAGAUGUCCUGAAUGACAUUGAAAAGAGAGUUACUGAACAACUAGAAUUAUAUCCCGAACAUGCAACGUUGAUUGAUAUUAAAAAAAUUAUCGAUCGUAUUCGCAUCUUACCAUCGACCGCGCCGGUAGUACGUUUCAAUACUGGUUUUCAAAUACUGCGCCAAAAUGUUGCUCUUUGGAAUGAAGUUGCUCAUAAAAACAACAACCUUAAAAAUGAAGAACAAGAGGUUGCGCAAUUUGUUCAAAAAUGGACGCGCCUGGAACUGCAGUUUUGGCGCAAUUGUUUAGCACAAACCUAUGAAAAAGUUGAAUCAAAUGCAUAUAAAUAUUGGUUUUUCAUUUAUAAUCUAGUCCAUGAAUUCAUUGCUGAACGAGAAAUUGACUCAUCUUUGGCCAACAUCACCUACACAAUGAAAAGGUUUGAAGAACACGAGAUUUUAGACCCGACAGAAACCAGUGCCAAGAAAUUUACGGUGGAAGCCAAAGAUAUUAUUAACAUUUUGAGACAGUUCGUAGAGUCGUCAUGUUAUGGUGAUUUUAGCAUAAGAAUGCAAUUGCUUUUAGCUUUCGAGCUAUAUCUACAUAACUGUAUCAAUUACACUGCGAAUGAUAACAAUAAUACCACUAACGCACAAAUUUGGCAAUUGAUUUCCGGCAUCCGAAAUUUGCAGUUGUACUUUGAUCAAUUUUCUAAGGAAAUUGAAGAACACCAAAAAUCCAUUAGAGCUCCAAUUGAGAAAAAACUUAAGGAGUUAGUUAAAAUCGAAAGUUAUAACAAAGACUUGUCCUACUUUAGCAUGCGAAAUAAUGUCGCUCGUGUUCAUCGAAAUCUUAACAAAUUCUUAAAGGAAUAUGAACAGCAACUGAAGGAGAAAAUAACAGCAGUUUUUCAACCAAAGGAUUCUACUGCCAAAGACUUUAAUUUCGCCAACGAUAAAGGAAAAGAUUUAAGAUUUGAUUCUAAAAUGAAAUAUUAUAUGGUCGAUCCCAAAUAUUUCGUUUUAGCUUCGAAGCAAAAAAGUAAUGCAACUGAGGAAGUGAACAAUACUGAUUCAGCACAAACAUUGCUUUCGAAAGCUCAACGGUUGUUCAACACCUCUCGUAAUGUGGUUAAGGAGACUGUUACAAAUGCCCACUAUCCUAAACUUAUAAUCGCAUUAGACUCUCUGUUAUCUCAACAGUUAGAAAGGUGUGACUAUUUAAGAAAUUUGACUGUCGAUAGGACUAAAGAACGUCCUAAACAAAAGUUGGAAGCUAAACAUAUAUUACAACAGAAACGUAAAGCAUUAACGGAUCUCUUUAAAGCCCUUUCAACUCUAGGUGUUAACUACAAGACCGGUCUCAUGGAAUUAUCGAUGAGCACCGAAUUCGAAGACAUAUUCUUGCCUCCAUUCUGCAUUAAAUCCAUGCUCUCAAAUUUCAAGGAAAAACGACUUCAACCAAAAUUGUUGCAGUUAAAUGAAAACUUGGAUGUAUACUUUAAUAAAUGUGUUUUCAAACUAAAAUUACUGCGGAAUAUAAUGCUUACGCCUUUGUCUGAACUGGGUCCCCCGAAUAUUGAGCGUAUAAAAGGUUACGCUGUCGACAUGUUCCUUUUGGUGCAGAACCAAAGAAAACUCUUAGCCUCUACCACUAAGGUUAUGUAUGAUAAUAGGGUUAUGUUGCAGCAGCUAAAAGACUUGGAAGAUGUAAAUAGUAAAGCUGAGCUUGAUGAGAGCUAUAUGAAUUUCAGUAGAUUCCGUGAUCGAUGUGAUGCCUUGAAAGCUGUUGUUACACGUAUACGCUAUGUUUUCGAACAACUAAAAUUAUAUUUCUUGCGUAUUCCCACCAAUGUGCGAAAGGAAAAUGUGUUAUUUGCUGAUGUGGAUGGUGGAAAUGUAUUUAAGAAUUCAGUAGACUCAAGUGCUGUUAUAUCUGAUUGCGAAAAAGUUUUGUCAUUAUCAAAAUCUGCACUAGAGCGCUUAAACACCGAUACCAGCGAAUUUGUACUUAAAGAUCGUCUAAUUGAUUAUAAAAACACCUACAACAAAUUAUAUAACUCAAUACAGGAUAUCUUAAAAAACUUCAAAACCAAUGAAAACGAAUACUUGCCUAUAGCUAAACCUCUCAUCGACCUAUCUUACAACAUCAAUGAUACCAUUCAAGAGAUAUUUACAGAUGAAAGUAAAUCAAAUUCAGAAUGUAGUUUAGAAAGCAUCGAUCAGCAGCUGGAAUCCAUAAUUCAUUCUAUGCUUCUUUCUUUGCAAAAACUUUACAAAAAAUACCCAUCAAAAACCCAGUCAGAUGAGGAAGAGAAACAACAAACAAAGAAGAAAAAUGACGAUGACAACGAAGAACUUGAUGAUCAGCAUUUGAAGAAAAAACUGUAUGGUGCACUUAAGGAAGAUUGGAAUGUGAUGAAUAUGGAAAAGAUAAAUGAACAAUUAACGAAUGUACUUCUUACACUUAAAUUGUCUGAGCCAUCUGUGGAGAAAAUUGAACUCAUUAAGAAAUUAUUAAGCAUUCAACCGCUUCUUGAACAAUUUAAUUUGAUGGCAGAGUACUUUUUGUGCCAACAGUUGGGAGCGCACAAGGUGUCCGUAAAAAUGUUGUCAAUAAUACUAACCGUAUUCGUAGAGAUCGGCACAAAAGGCUUCUGUGUGCCACAAGAUCUUAUGCAAGACGAAGAAGGGGAAUCAAAGAAAGACCAAAAAGAAGGUGAAGGUUUUGGUCUAGAAGAUGGAACCGGAGAAAAAGAUGCCUCAGAUAAAAUAGAAUCUGAAGAUCAAUUGGAUGAUGCGAAACGCCCUGAGGAUCGUAAGGAUGAAAAUGAUAAAAACGAACCGAAUGAUUGCAAAGAAGAGAAAGGAAUUGAAAUGAGUGACAAUUUUGAUGCAGAAAUGCAGGACAUAGAUAAACAAAACGAAGAGGAAGAUGACAGUGGAGAGUCUGAAAACGAGGAAGAUAUGAGUAAAGAAAUGGGCGAAACCGAAGAGGGUGCAGACAAACUAGACGAUCAAAUUUGGGGUGAUGACGAAGAACCGGAAGAGCAAGAGGAGGAAAAAGAAAUGCAAGAAGAGGAUGGCAAAGGAAAUGGUGAUGAACAGGAUGCCCAUAAUGACCUCAAUUCUAAGAAUGAUACCUCAAAGGACGACGAUGGAAAAAAUGAUCCCGAAAAGGAUGGUUUGGACGCCACAAAUGAACCAAACGAGGAGGACAAGAGAAAACGAGAAGAAAAUGAUAUAGACAAUAUGAAAGAUCAAGAAGAAGGUGAUCAAGAUCAGGUUAACCCAUAUCAUAAUGAACUAGAAGAACCAGAACAACCAGAAGAUUUCGAUUUGGGAGACCUUAAUGUUAACGACGACAAUGAGGAGGAUGAGAAACAGCAAGGCGAAGAUAAUCCUUUCGAUAUUGAUACUAUGAAAGAUAAUAUGCAGGAUGUUGAUGAAACUCAAGAAGACCAAAACGAUAAUGAUGAAGCAGGUGACAAAGACGAAAACAAAGAGAAUGUAAGUGAUGACAGUGAUUCGAAUGAUGAAGACGAUGAUACAAGUAAAUUGCAAAAUGAUGCUGAAACUCCUGAUGAGGAAAAACCAAAUGAAGAAGAAGAAAAUCAAGAAAAUUCAAACGAAGAAGUUGAUGAGCAGAAAAGAGGUCAAAUCGAAGAAGAAACUUCAGCAGAGGAAGAAUCAGAAAAUAGAAAUGAAAAACAUGAAGAAUACGAACAAUCUAAAGAUCAACCCAUGAAAGAAGACAAUAUGCAGUCGGUUCCUGAAAUAGAGCCAAAAGGUUCCAAGGAUAAGUUAGAAGCCGAAAAAACUGACACCGAUGUACAACAAGAUCAGAAUAUAGAUGAACAAGAUACGGGAGAAGAUAAAGAAGGCAUAGGUCAAGCUGAAAAUGAGACCAACGAUGGAGGUCACCAAGGUAUAGCUGAAACCAAGGAGACUACAACACCUGAAGAUAAUAAAAGCGAUGCUAAUACCAAGGAAAAGAGAAAACAAGGUCGCACUGACGAAGACAGAUCAAUGGGACAAGCUGAGCAAAAUAAGAUAAAGCGUCUUAAAACUGUUGACAAACUCAACGAAGAAAAUAAUGUCCAAAACGAAGAAAAUCAAGAUGAGGCAAAUAAUGAUAUGGAAGCAGAGGAAUAUCAACAUGUUAAGGAACCAAAGACAAGUGAUAAGCUUACUUUAGACAAUGCAACCGAAGAACAGUCCAAGAAAAUUCAGCCUCAGUCUGAAGAGGAAAAAAUUAAUGAAAACGAAGAAGCUGCCGAAAAUCAAUCGGAAUUAAUUGAAGAAACUGAAGAAGAACUUAACAAUGUGGAUCCACAAGAAAUGAUCUCCGAAAAAAUGGAAAAGAAUUCGGAAAAUCCCUCAAAGUCUGAGCCUAGAAAUGACAAUGUUACCACUCAAGAACAAUUAGAAGUGGAUGGUGAUGUUAUUGAAACAAUGACGGUACAAAGAAGUGACGAUACUACUGCACAUUGCAAUAAGGAAAUACUGAGUGACAAGAGUGGACAUGUAGAGGAGUUAAGUGCUGCCAAAACACUAGAAUUAAGAAGAAUAUACCAGGAACAAGUUACUUCACAGCAGCCAAUUAUUGCCCAAAAUGAAGACCAUGAAACGUGGCAUGCUAUAUCCAAUCGUAUGUCGCAAAAUGCUCGAGACCUUUGUGAACAAUUGCGUCUUAUCUUAGAACCAACGAAAUGUACAAGACUGAAGGGAGACUACCGAACCGGACGCCGUAUAAAUAUGAAAAAAAUUAUUCCGUAUAUUGCCUCUCAAUUCCGUAAAGACAAGAUCUGGUUGCGAAGAACAAAGCCGGCGCAACGCGAUUAUAAAAUUACUAUAGCUAUUGAUGAUUCAAAGUCAAUGCAUCAUAAUAAUUCGAAAGUCUUGACUCUGGAAGCCAUAUCUUUAGUGUCUCAGGCUUUAACACUGCUGGAAAGUGGACGUUUAAGCGUAAUAUCUUUUGGGGAACAACCCCAAAUAUUGCUCAAUCACAAUGAACAGUUCGAUGGACCAAAGUUAGUUAGUUCCUUGCAGUUUUCACAGGAUAAAACGAAGAUUGCCGAAUUACUCGACUUCAUACGGACGGCAGGCUUAGAAGAAGGUUCUUCUACUUCCGACAACGGCAUUUUCGAAAAUCUUCUCUUAAUUUUAAGCGAUGGCCGGAACAUAUUUAGUGAAGGCAAAUCAAAGGUGCGAAAUGCUAUUAAACUAGCAAGACUUCAACGAAUUUUCCUAGUUUACAUUAUCAUAGAUAAUCCGGAGAACAAGAACUCUAUACUUGACAUACAGACAAUGGAAAUGUUACCAAAUAAUUCUAUUAAUAUAAAAUCUUAUUUAGAAGAUUUUCCAUUCCCCUAUUAUGUUAUAGUGAGAGACUUGAAUCAAUUGCCCACGGUUUUAAGUGAGGCUAUGCGUCAGUGGUUCGAACUAGUAAAUAGUGAACAAUAAAAAUUUUAUAGCAAACAUGUUAAACACACAUAGUUGUUAAUAUAUAAAUGUAUAAAUAUGAAACUGUAAAUACUUACAAGAGAAUACCUAUUUUAAAUACUUUUAUAGACUUUAAUAAACAAAAUUGAAAAUUUAUGAAUAAA
RNAcentral lists this unclassified non-coding RNA (17164 nucleotides) under Lucilia cuprina (Australian sheep blowfly). Its description in RNAcentral is "midasin, transcript variant X1". Lineage: Eukaryota; Metazoa; Arthropoda; Insecta; Diptera; Calliphoridae. The record is from RNAcentral.